Molecule: transfer RNA, 87 nt
Filed under: Patescibacteria group bacterium
Lineage: Bacteria
Description: tRNA-Ser
Rfam family: tRNA
About the family: Transfer RNA (tRNA) molecules are approximately 80 nucleotides in length. Their secondary structure includes four short double-helical elements and three loops (D, anti-codon, and T loops).
Source: RNAcentral
GGAGGGGUGGCCGAGUGGUUGAAGGCGCAGGUCUCGAAAACCUGUAUACCUGCAAAGGUAUCGCGAGUUCGAAUCUCGCCCCCUCCG